AGUGAACGCUGGCGGCGUGGUUAAGACAUGCAAGUCGAACGGGAUUAGAUAGACUGACGCUUCGGUUGAUUUCUAUUUAUGAGAGUGGCAAACGGGUGCGUAACACGUAAGCAACCUGCCCUAAAGUAUGGGAUAGCUCAGCGAAAGUUGAAUUAAUACCGUAUGUGGCUCGGUAACUCAUGUUACUAGAGCUAAAGCUUGAGAUGGCGCUUUAGGGAGGGGCUUGCGGCCUAUCAGUCUUGUUGGUGAGGUAACGGCUCACCAAGGCAAAGACGGGUAGCUGG
This 284-nucleotide ribosomal RNA is filed under the name uncultured bacterium. RNAcentral describes it as "partial 16S ribosomal RNA". It matches the Rfam family "Bacterial small subunit ribosomal RNA", at positions 29 to 290 of the family's 1533-position model. The record is from RNAcentral.